This 497-nucleotide ribosomal RNA is filed under the name uncultured bacterium. RNAcentral describes it as "bacterial SSU rRNA". It matches the Rfam family "Bacterial small subunit ribosomal RNA", at positions 1 to 494 of the family's 1533-position model. The record is from RNAcentral.
GAUUAGAGUUUGAUCCUGGCUCAGAAUGAACGCUGGCGGCGUGCCUAACACAUGCAAGUCGGAUGUGCCCGCAAGGGUGCAUGGCAGACGGGUGAGUAACGCGUGGGGAAUCUACCUCUUUGUGGGGAAUAACGUUCCGAAAGGAAUGGUAAUACCGCAUGAGACCGUGAGCUGGGACGCUCACGGUGAAACCUGGGGACCGCAAGGCCUGGGGCAAGGAGAGGAUCCUGCGUCUGAUUAGCUAGUUGGUGGGGUAACGGCCUACCAAGGCAACGAUCAGUAGCCGGCCUGAGAGGGUGAUCGGCCACACUGGAACUGAGACACGGUCCAGACUCCUACGGGAGGCAGCAGUGGGGAAUUUUGCGCAAUGGGCGAAAGCCUGACGCAGCAACGCCGCGUGGGUGAUGAAGGUCUUCGGAUCGUAAAACCCUGUCGUCGGGGACGAAGGUCGGGAGGUGAAUAGCCUUUCGAUUUGACGGUACCCGGAGAGAAGCCCC